Molecule: transfer RNA, 72 nt
Filed under: Ovis aries (sheep)
Lineage: Eukaryota; Metazoa; Chordata; Mammalia; Artiodactyla; Bovidae
Rfam family: tRNA
About the family: Transfer RNA (tRNA) molecules are approximately 80 nucleotides in length. Their secondary structure includes four short double-helical elements and three loops (D, anti-codon, and T loops).
Source: Rfam by way of RNAcentral
UCCCUGGUGGUCUAGUGGUUAAGACUCUGUACUUUCACUGCAGAGGGCAUGGUUUGAUCCCUGAUCAAGGAA